This is a long non-coding RNA of Bos indicus x Bos taurus (hybrid cattle), 1518 nucleotides long. The record is from Ensembl. Lineage: Eukaryota; Metazoa; Chordata; Mammalia; Artiodactyla; Bovidae.
ACGGAACCAAAUGGAGGGAAUCCCGCCGGCCGCGCUAGACGAGACCCGACUUCGGGCUUCCCUCCCCACCUCGAACCCCAACCCCGGGGGGACCCGAGACUCGGGGUCACGGCCUCCCCUUGCCCAAGAAACUUCGGGGAACGGGGGGAGGCGUGCCUAAACUUUUUAAAAGGCUCGAAUCCCACCCCCCCCCCGGCUUUUUUACCGAAAGCAUCAAACUCUCCCAUUUCCCGGGACCCCGAAGGGCCAGGCUCGCUCUCUGCCCGGUCCCCGAGUUGGGGGGCGCCCCUGAGGGGAAGACCUCCCAUCUCCGCCUUGAGGGUCGGAGAGCAGCUCCAAGAGCCGAGGCCGAGCGUCCGAGCCUGGCUUGGGUCCCGCCGCCGCGUCCCGCCCACGUUCGGGGCUGGGGGUCGGAGUGGGGGUGUUUCGGGGUGUGGGGGGGACCCCCCGAGACGCCGCCGCCGCGCCCGCUCGCGACAAACGGCCCCGCCCCGCCCCGCCGGGCCAGAAGGGGCGCUGUCGACGCCGCUACCUUCGCUCCGUGCGCCCGGCUGGGGCGAGCCAGGCGCCUGCGUGCAGGCCGAGAGCGGCCCGGCCGGCCCGGGGGUGCAGGGAGGACACGGGGACCCCCAAGCCCGCCCUCCUAUCGCCCCGGCCUCAAACGGCCCGCGGCUCCGCUCCGUGGGUCGCCGGCCCCGGACGCCCGGUGCCCGCCUCCCAGCGCCGGGCUACGGCGGGCGCCGAGGGCCAAUCCCCGCGCCGCUCGCCCUCCGCCGUCCCGCGCUCUGCCCGCCCCGCUCCCCGGCCGGCCACGCCGCCCGGCCUGAGCCCCGGCGUCGGGGGGUAGGGGGUGCGGGAGGACUCCAAGGGCGCUCGGAGCCUCUCUCCGUCGCUCCGCGGGCCGCCGCGCCCGCAGAGGCCUCCUCACGCCCGGGCCCCGCCGGAGCCGCCGCCGCCGCCGCGCGCGCGCCUCCCGGGGCAGUUCCGCUGCCCUCUGGCGCAGCCCCGCCCUGGUCCCCGCACUUACCCCCACCUCGGCGGCCGGCCGCCCGCAGAGGCCCCCGGCCGAGUCCCAGUCUCCGUCGCGCUGCACGGCGCGCAGUCCCGCCCCCGCUUAAAGCCGCUGCGCCGGCCGCCCGAGGACUAGGCCCGGGCGCACCGCCCUCCAGUGGGUGCGGCCUGGGCGGGCAGCGGGAGCGGGGAGGGGCGUCACGCCCGGGUGGGCUCGGCCCGGCGCUUUUAAGCCUGCGUCCGCUGGGGCGGGGCUGCCGGCCCGGGAGGGAGGGGCAGGCAGGUGACCGGCGUCUCUGGGCUCUUUCUGUCCUGAAUGUCUUCUCCGGAGCCAGGAAGCUGGGGAGGAGGGACGCUUGCCGCUGCAGCGAGGGCGGUGGGGGCACCCUUAGCAGGCGGCGGACGGGCCCGGGAAGAGGCCACCUCCAACGUAGCAGGCUGGGCGGGGUUUUCUCCUUCGCCGGCGUCCUGGGGGUCCUUCUGAGUCCGGGGAGGGGGAGGAGGUAA